AACAAUACAUGGUGGCGUACUUGUUGUACUCAUCUUUCUCCCCUGCGUUAUUCCAUAUAUCAGAGCUUUUAGCGAUUAUUCUGGGUUCCCCAAUACUUUUAUUGUUGUUGGUCUACGUCGAAUAAGUGGUUUGCCUGCUUCUUUCCCGUUUGGCGAAUGAGGCGACUUGAAAAGAACAUUCAUGGAGUUGCUCACAGCUUUUUUGUUUCUGCAAAACGCCAUGCCCGCCGGCGCCAGCUGCAGCGUGAAUACACCAAUGAGUCAGACACUGGUGGCUUGAUUCAAACCAGCUCGGAAGGCAUGGGCCAUAAAGCCACUCGACCUGGCCCUGAUGUCUCAAGCCUUCGUGGCAGUGGUAUGAUGGCUGCGCCUGCCGCAACGUCGCUGGACAAGAUCCGUGCUCAAUUAGUCGCCCUGCGAAAUGAGAAUAGGCGCAGUGUAGAGGAAGCAAAACAAGCAGCUGAGCAGCGGCAGUGGGAGAAACUGGUGAAAGAGCAAAAGGAGCAAGACGUGCUUCGUGUAGGAAUCAGCCUGACUCACGAGAAAACGCGAGGCGACUCUCUCACAAAGCUAAUCCAGAGUGAGUAUUCACGCCUGAACAAGCCAAACGAUGCCUUUCGCGUCGGCAAAGAAGUCGUUGACGGGGUUGCGCAGCGGUCCUUUCUGCUGCAAGAAAAACGAUUCAAGGACGCCGAUGACGUGCUUCGAAAGAGCAGAAAUGCUAGUGAUACUCGGCGCUACAUGGCGCUAACCUUUUCGUCGUCGCCCGAGCAAAGGGCUCAUUUAGUGGAGGUUCUGAAGCGCAUGCAGGCACAAUGGGCAGCGGAGUGCGAGAAGCUUACGAGAGCAUCUGACCCCACGCAAAGUUUUUCUAGCAGCAAUAUCAACGCUACAGUUGAGGCCAGCUCAAGUGCGGUAUCGCGACUGGCAUGGUUGACGGUGCUAGAGGGGCUACCAGAUGAGGACAUUCGAGCACUCUGGGAGGCCGGCAUACUCGAUGCAGAGACGCUGUUGUCUUUGCUCUCUGAACCUUUGUCAGAUACAUUUUCGCCGACAGAGAGGAGUGCUGUGUCGGAGCGCACUCGAAACGACGGGGGCCAAGACACUUCCGACGAGGAUGCGCCGGCUGGCAUGCUUUUCAAUGAGAAGAUCAAGUAUGUGCAGCAGCUACACUAUCUGCAAGAGAUCACAAAUACUAUUCGGGAGACGGAGCUGGGUGAUGUGCCACCGAUUGACCUGGCACCGGCAAUUGUGAAGACGAAACGGCGUCGAUUCGAUGACGUCACAGAAGACGAGCUCCGUCAGCUCGAGCAGUACGAAGAGUCCGCAGCGAUGCACCUUCCUCUAAAGGAGCCGUUUCCCUCUAAGGGCGCAUCACGUGUGGUGAAGGCAGAAACUUUCAAUGUCUGUGUUCCCGCUGCAAUGCUCGAGCGUGCCCUUUUCCCCUCCAAUUGCUUUUUGAAUGCAGUGGCGCAGAAGGACGCCGCGCUGCGGCGCUCUUUGGAGCGGAUGGAGCGAAUCAAGCGAGAGACGCUGCUCGAUCCGGAGUUUCAAGAGGCGGUGCGUUUCGCGCACGCCGUGGAGGAAGCAUCUGUGGCGCCCCAUCUUCGUGGCUGGGACAGCAGCAACGGUGAUGACGGUGAUGUCAGCGGUGAGGAAAAGGGCGCGCCACCUCGGGCCACUCGUCGCACCGUAUCGAAGCGCGAGAAGCGGGCGGCUCGCAGCCACCAGCUGCGAGGCCCCAUGGCGCGCUCGCCAUACUCGCCAGAAGUAAUACCGUAUUUUUAUAAUGAUAUGCGCAGCAUAGUGCCACCGCAUGGGGCAUUUAACCUGCCGGACCCAGCGCCGACGAAGGCCGAGCGUGCCGCACUACGUGGCCGUCGGCGCCGUGCGCGAAAAGGAACGCGCUACAGCAAAUGAUAACCUGCUCUCUUGAAACGUUUUUUUGUUACUACUACUAUUCUUGCGUCGCUAACCUGGGAGAUGUGCACGAGUUUCCCUCUUCCUGUUCACAGUUUUGCUGUUUGGGUGUCCACGGGCUUGCAUGCCUCUUCGUCUUUCUUACUGCAAAAUGGUUCGUCGGAAGCCGCAGAAACGCUGCACAGCUGAUGAGUUGAGGAAGGGUCCAGGUCGACGAGGCAAGCUGCCCAGGAAAGUGAGUGUUCGCCUCGCCUCGCCUUCUUUUGAUGCGAGCCGCUUUGUAGGGCCGAGAACGUAGUGCUCGGUGUGGUUUUUCUGCCGCCUUCUUGCUCCACUCUCCAUUGUCCACUCAUCUCCCCUCAUCCUCUGCUUUGCAACAUUGGCGCUAG
This 2309-nucleotide unclassified non-coding RNA is filed under the name Leishmania donovani. RNAcentral's name for it is "gene:LdHU3.35.1090(CDS-product:hypothetical_prote in_conserved)". Lineage: Eukaryota; Euglenozoa; Kinetoplastea; Trypanosomatida; Trypanosomatidae. The record is from RNAcentral.